This 301-nucleotide ribosomal RNA is filed under the name uncultured bacterium. RNAcentral's name for it is "partial 16S ribosomal RNA". It matches the Rfam family "Bacterial small subunit ribosomal RNA", at positions 509 to 807 of the family's 1533-position model. The record is from RNAcentral.
CAGUCGCCACGGUAAUACGAAGGGUGCAAGCGUUAAUCGGAAUUACUGGGCGUAAAGCGUGCGUAGGCGGUGAGUUAAGUCCGUUGUGAAAGCCCUGGGCUCAACCUGGGAAUUGCAGUGGAUACUGGGUCACUAGAGUGUGGUAGAGGAUAGUGGAAUUUCCGGUGUAGCAGUGAAAUGCGUAGAGAUCGGAAGGAACAUCUGUGGCGAAGGCGACUAUCUGGGCCAACACUGACACUGAGGCACGAAAGCGUGGGGAGCAAACAGGAUUAGAUACCCGCGUAGUCCCUGUCUCUUAUAC